Mus musculus (house mouse) is the source of this 6126-nucleotide long non-coding RNA. RefSeq annotates it as predicted gene, 36027. The transcript has 2 exons. The record is from RefSeq and is a predicted model, not a curated record. Lineage: Eukaryota; Metazoa; Chordata; Mammalia; Rodentia; Muridae.
CUGUCCCAGAAGCUGUUAGCUUCUGUAGUGCACACUCUCAACUGUGCAGACUACUUUCGGCAGAGUCCCGGAACCCUGUACCUGACUCUUAGUACUGAGUUAUUUCCCUCCUCCCUCCAGUGUGUGAAACACUCCCUAUGCCAGGCUAAGAUGCCCAUUUUUGUUUUGAUUUGCAAAGGUCAGUAAACAUUUAUAGUGUGCAGGUCCUGUAUUGAUCAGCAGAUGCCGCUGUGGACGUUUAUAGACAGGGUGGCUGAGGAGUCUCCGCUCUGCUGGUGCCUCCCUGGUUUGCUUUGUUCACUGGGUAUUCAGUGUCCCCUACCAUUUCUGUCUUUAGGCACAGCCUCUGGGUUUGAACAGUGCUGUCAGCUAACAGAACAGAAAUGACUCAAAUACAGUGUCUGGUUUUAGUGUGGAUUUAAAGGGAAAUCUUCUAAAAUAGGUCUUUGGACCCCACUCUAUUAGGGCCCCAUCAACGUAUAGAAGUUUCAGCAUUGGCCUGGGGAGAUGGUAUAGUGAGUGUUGUCCCAGGGACAUCAUACAGGGGUGACUUCUGGUUUCUGCACACUCAUAAAUAAAUGAAUGAUGGAUGGAUGUGUGGAUAGGCACCGAGUACUAGGCAUGAGCCUGGAUUUCUUUUAAAUCUUACCAUGGUUUGAAGUUACUUCAGUUUCAAGGUUGUUUCCAUCUUUGAAAUGAUGUAGGGGAGGCCAUCUUAACUGCUCAAGUGGGGACCAUUCCAAUAAUGUCUGUUCCUUUAGCCAUGGUUGACUGUGUGUAAAAGGACAGUGAGCUGAAGAGAAGUAACUAUGAUGAGACAGGCAGUCGGUCAGUAGGUUAGCUGGGCACCUAACAUAGCUGGUCACAGACAAGGCAGACCAGUGUGGCACUCCAGGGCCAGGUGCUCGGGGAAUGGCAUUGACUCACUGGUACUUGAAGUAACGUGUUGUGCAAACAGAAUAGAAUGGUGGCAUCAGCCAAGCCUGGGCUUUCGUGCUGCCUCAGAGUACAGGAUAUGUGUGGCUUUGCUGGGCGCAUGAAGAGGCUUUGUAGAUAGCGUCUGAGGGCGUGGCCAGAGUGGCUCUCUACCCCACUACCUUGCAGGUGAGAAGACCCUGCAUCUGCAAAGGCUGCACACCGUGGCUCUGUGGGGUGCUGCUUGGAGUGGAUGGAUGACGCAAAGAACGGACUGAACCUGGGUCUUGUGAUUUGGGGAUGCUUGUGGCCUAGAGAACAGGUUUUAGGUCUUAGGCAGGGUCAUGUGAUCUCCCUGUGCCUGUUUUAUCUUCUGUAAAAGGAGGCCAACUACCACACAGCACUAAAUGCAGGCACCUUGUAGCAACCAGAUUAGUAUGUGUAAGCUUGGCUGCCAUUGCCAGCUACACUGUGUCACCAGACACUGUGAGUGCUCACCUGAGAUGGCGUUGUUUUUAAAUAAGUGUGUGUGUGUGUGUUUCAUUCACAGAGAUGUAUUUAUGUGUGUGUCCAUGUGUUCACACAUGUGCAUGUGUGCCUAGGAAGGCCCGAAGAUGGUGUCAGAUCCUCUGGAUCUGGACAGUUAUGAGCUGCUUGGUGUGGGAAACUCUGGUCUUCUGCAAGAGAAGUCUUCCCAGCUCAGUUUCUGUGGUUUUGCUUUCCAGGGUUCAUAACUCCUGAUUGCAAAUUUACACUUCAGAUACAGGUAGAUGCAACUUAAAGCAUACUGAAUUUACCCUACCUUUUUUAUUGUGAGAAAAUGUACACAGCAUAAAGCUUAACAUUUGGAUCCUCUAAAUAUGUACAGGGCAGUGGCAUAUUGUGCAUUCACAGCUGUGCAACCAUCACUGUCUAGUUGUGUUGUAUUUUUUUUACCCCUAAGAAUACAGUGCCAAUCACUAGCCCUUUAUUCCCCACUGCUUCUUAAUCCCAGUCUUUUGCAACCACUGGGAUAUAUAUGGCUGUUAGGUAUUUCCAAACACCACAUGCCCUGCUGUGUCUGGGUGCCGUUUCACUGCGUGUGCUUUCAGGCUUUAUUUGUAUGGUAGCAUCUGUUAGUACUAACCGCUUGUUUGGGCAUGGUAAUAUCACACUGGGGAUAUGCCACGUUUUGCUCAAGUUUCCAUCACUGUCCGGCAUUGUGGCUGCUUUGACAUUGGUGUCACAGUGGGUUUUUGGUCUGUGUGCUUUCCUUGUCCUGAUAAUGAAAGUGUAACUGAUAUCAUGUAGGAACAUUAAAAGUACCCAGCUUGAAGGACUGGAGAGCUGCUGCUCUUAAAGAGGAGCUGGAUUUGGUUCUCAGCAGCUCCCAGGAGGCUCAUAGUUGUCUGACUCCAGUUCCAGGGAUUUGAUGUGCUCUGGCCUCCCUGGGGACCUGGUGCACAGACACUGCCACAACUACAUACACAUACACAUAUGUGAAACACAGACAAGGGCAUUGGCGUCACAGCAGGCAGCAUGUCAGGGCACACUUCACUUUCUGUGAAGCUCAACCCUGUGGUAGCUUUCCAGAAUCAGUGGCAGUGCCUCAAGGCUUACAGUCUGGAUGAGGCUAGAUCAGCACCAUGAUAUUAGAGGUCCACAGUACUAUGCUGCAGGGGACAGAAAGUCACCAAGGGCUCAGGCUUAGAAAGGUAAAAGCGAGUAGACUCUCAGUGAUUGAAGUGGCCCAGGUCUGAGUAUUAGCUGUCUCCUGCCCUCACCACUCUUCUGUCUCAGUCCUGGCUUGUGUGUCUAUCUAUUCUACAUAGAACUUGGAAUUCAGGAAAGAGUCCUGCUGUUAGCGUGUUCUUUAGGCUCAUGCAUGGUGCCUUGCGGUGAUUGCAUGAUAGAGAACAGCAGGGAAGAAGGGCAAAAGUCAGUGUCUCCCUCUGCGUUAAGGUCAACCUGUGCAAGUGAGUUUCUGCUGGAAUAGACAUUCAUCUGUUACCAGUCUGAUCACAGUGGGAUUUGUCAGAGCAAGGAAACCUUCUCACAUCACACUGGACCUGUGGGAGAUACGUAAAACUAAUCUGUCAGGACCACCACUGUGCAUGCCCUUUGACCUAGAAGAACUCUGCUCCUAGUAAUUGACUAUGUGGUGUUGUGUGACAAGUUUUGAAACUCCAGGUUCAAAAAUACAGUUUAAGUGUUCACCAGUCAUGAAUCAGGUGGCUAGAUUCAUGGAGGCUCACAUGCUAGCCAUUCACUGGAUGGAGGGAGGUACUCUGUCCUAGUAGGGAACCCUUCCUAAGACAGUGUGGAGGGGAGGGGUGAAGAAGGUGAUAAGGAAGGGCCAGUCUGAUACACUUCCCCUGUGAUACCUAGUACCUGAAAAGGAAGGAGAGCAAGGUCUUGAUGCAUGCACAUCUGUAAGGUACUGCCGCCGCCGCCUCCCUGAAUACCCAGGGCAGGGCAGAGAGACCUGGGGUCUGGUAGAUGUGCACUGAAUUGGAGAUGCCUCUGUCUAAGGUUUCCAUUACAGUCUUACACAUGGAGUGGCGUGUCACCCCAAGAGUAGGUGAUGUAAGCUCGGUGACUUGUCAUCUUCCUUGCUGUGGUUUCUUUGCUGGAAGCAAGUCAGAAGGUCCCGAGGCAGAGUGUAUGAAGCAGGACUUGCUGGACAAACAAAGCUGUCUUUAGAGUGCACAUCAUGACAGCCAUCAGUUCUUCGAGCUAAAAGCUUGCUUCUGUGGGAAUGGAGUGAUGCUAGGAUUACAAGCCAGUAAGAUGGGUAUGAGAUGGGAUGGGGGCUACUGCACACAGAAGGUAGAGUCACUACUGCCUCAGCUUAACCCUUCAGCCCAGAGCCAAGCCUUGCCAUCUCACCUUUGGGCCUAGGCCUGUGCUAGAACUCUGGAGUGGCAGUGCUCUCUGCCUUCAUGGCGCCACAACGAAAUACCUUCAUGGUUCCAGACCGUGUCUGGGUCUUAGUCUCACAGAUUUUCAUCCAUAGCCCUAGACCCUGUCUGAUCUGGUUAUCUGUGUGAAGUGUUGGUAGUAGUAGACUUUGUACCUCACAUAAAUGUAUUGGUGUUAGUUUGAAAAACAGGAAUUCAAGAACCUUCUGAAGGCAGCAGAACCAUCCAAGUUCAACUCCUGUAGACGUUGUCGUUGCCCACCCCAAUCGCCUAUCUCUUCUUACUGAGUUUGUAAUAUAUUUAUGUUAAACUAUGUAGGUUUUUACUUUAUGUUGAGUUAUCAAGCUUGCUUCUUACUUGCUGGCUUUCCCUUUCUUUCUCACAAACUGUUUCAAUUCUUCGUGUACAGUUCCUGAGCACAGAGACCAAAGGACAUCAAGCGUCUUCUCAGCUCCCCACCUUCCCAGCUCCCCACCUCACCCUCUUGAGGCUGGAUCUCUCCCUGAAUCCAGAGCAUGUAAUGGCCCGGGGUGCUGUUGCCACACUUUCCUGGUCCUGCUCCAUGGACGUGUGUGAUGCCAGCGCCACAGAGACUGCAGGCUGCUGUCUGCAAUCUGCUUUUGUUCAAGGUAAAAGUUGUCUUUUUAGAUUGUAAAGGAUCAGUAUGUGCAGCAUAAAACAUGCAAAUCUAAGUUUAAAGGUUUCCCCUUCUAAAGUUGUUGAUACAUAACACAGUAAAUGUUUGGGCUUCUUUGACUGCCCUGAUGAGAUGCUCAUGUGUAGCUUCAGCUCAUUUCCAGGACGUACACAAACCAAGCCCUUGCCAUCUGCUUCUGCUCUGUUUGCUGAGGUGCACCGUUUGAAUGCGGUGCGGCCCUUUAAUCACGCCCAGCAUUCUGUCUAAGUCGCUUUCCAUGAUUUGUAUACAAAAGUCACUUCCCAGGAGAGGAAGGCUCACGAGCUUGAAGUGUGCACACACUAACAUCAGAGACCUUCAGUUUUGGAAGUAAUUUGAAAGAAAUGAGCACAGUUUUAAAAAAAGAAAUUGGAACCACAUUUAAAGGUAUUUAUGUGAAAUGAGAAAGAGUUUGUCCUUGUCUGCCUUUCUUGUAGGUUAAUACAUGCUGUGUAACUUCCAGGAUGAGGUUCUUUUUUUGUAGUAGAAAUGAUAAAAUGGUAACUCAAAAAUUUGAAAUCUAAAGUUUUAUUUAUAUCUAAAGAUAAUUUUAUAUCUUUAUAUCUAAAGAUAUUAAUAUGCCUUAAAGGUAGUGAUAAGCCUAUAUUAGUGAUCCUGAAGUAUUAGAUUGCUAGAAAGAUCUGAUUUAAAGAGACAGUUGCAGAGCAGUGAGGUGGCUCUGCAGAGAAGGGAGCUUGCUGCAAGCAAAUGGUGACCUGAGUUCAGUUUCCGGGCUGCAUAUAGUGUAAGGAGAGCCAGCUCCUGUAAGUUGUCCUCUGAUUCCCCACAUGUGCUAUGGUAUACAGGUGUCCACACUUUCACGAACACACACACACACACAUGCGCGCACACAUGCGCACGCACGCACGCACAGAUGCACACAUAAGAACAAUUUUUUAAAAUAUAAAAAUAUGGCUUGGUGUGGUGAUGCACAGUAUUUCCCCAUCAUAAAAUACAGCAGUUAAAAAGGGAAUGCCGUUUCCUUCUCAGGUUUCAGCAUGAUUGAUACUUUCAUUUGUGGCCAAAGUAUUUUUUUCUAAUGAGACAUUUUGAAACCAAAAAUGACACAGUUUUAGGGCGUGAUGAUAGGUCACUGAGGAUGGUCUUCCUCUUCCCACUAGUUAGUGUCUUCCAGUAGAAAGGCUUCUCAUAAACAGCUCUCCCACAGGACCUGCCCUAGGCGUCUCCUUAGUAGCACACCUCCUUAUUAGGAGGACACCUCUCUCUCCCCUUCUUUUGGAGAGUCACAUGAAGCACAGACUGCUCAGCUUUCCCAGAGUCACUCUGCUCCUGUUCACUUGUGGGAGCCUGUGUUCUCGAAUCCGGGCAAGGCUGGAAAGGAGUCGUCAUCUCAGGUGGAGGUCAAAGCUCAGAAUUCUCUUAACCCUUAUAUGCUCUAUUAAGGUAGUUUCUGGGCUGCCAUUUCCCCAGCGUUGGCCAGCGGGGGUUCGAGGACAGGGAGCAGGUGUGAGACCCAAAGUUACUCUGGGAACUUCACUUUCUAGUGUAGGUGCUUAAUUGGUAUGUUGAUUGAGAGCACCUGCUGGUUCAUUUUCCCUGGUACUGAGAAACACAAGGCCUUCGUUACUUCCUCAGUGUAGUGAAAUAUUAAGACCCAACAUAUCUGGUAGUUAA